GCUUGCUCUUCUGGAUGAGUUGCGAACGGGUGAGUAACGCGUAGGUAACCUGCCUGGUAGCGGGGGAUAACUAUUGGAAACGAUAGCUAAUACCGCAUAAUAGCAGUUGUUGCAUGACAACUGUUUAAAAGGUGCAAUUGCACCACUACCAGAUGGACCUGCGUUGUAUUAGCUAGUUGGUGGGGUAACGGCUCACCAAGGCGACGAUACAUAGCCGACCUGAGAGGGUGAUCGGCCACACUGGGACUGAGACACGGCCCAGACUCCUACGGGAGGCAGCAGUAGGGAAUCUUCGGCAAUGGACGAAAGUCUGACCGAGCAACGCCGCGUGAGUGAAGAAGGUUUUCGGAUCGUAAAGCUCUGUUGUAAGAGAAGAACGAGUGUGAGAGUGGAAAGUUCACACUGUGACGGUAUCUUACCAGAAAGGGACGGCUAACUACGUGCCAGCAGCCGCGGUAAUACGUAGGUCCCGAGCGUUGUCCGGAUUUAUUGGGCGUAAAGCGAGCGCAGGCGGUUAGAUAAGUCUGAAGUUAAAGGCUGUGGCUUAACCAUAGUACGCUUUGGAAACUGUUUAACUUGAGUGCAAGAGGGGAGAGUGGAAUUCCAUGUGUAGCGGUGAAAUGCGUAGAUAUAUGGAGGAACACCGGUGGCGAAAGCGGCUCUCUGGCUCGUAACUGACGCUGAGGCUCGAA
RNAcentral lists this ribosomal RNA (692 nucleotides) under uncultured Bacilli bacterium. RNAcentral's name for it is "bacterial SSU rRNA". It matches the Rfam family "Bacterial small subunit ribosomal RNA", at positions 78 to 757 of the family's 1533-position model. Lineage: Bacteria; Bacillati; Bacillota; Bacilli. The record is from RNAcentral.